This 490-nucleotide ribosomal RNA is filed under the name uncultured bacterium. RNAcentral's name for it is "partial 16S ribosomal RNA". It matches the Rfam family "Bacterial small subunit ribosomal RNA", at positions 28 to 507 of the family's 1533-position model. The record is from RNAcentral.
GAUGAACGCUAGCGAUAGGCUUAACACAUGCAAGUCGAGGGGCAGCAUGGUCUUAGCUUGCUAAGACUGAUGGCGACCGGCGCACGGGUGCGUAACGCGUAUGCAACUUGCCUCACAGAGGGGGAUAACCCGUCGAAAGACGGACUAAUACCGCGUACACUUGGGAUAGGGCAUCCUGACCCAAGGAAAUGAAAUUCGCUGUGAGAUAGGCAUGCGUCCCAUUAGCUAGUUGGUGAGGUAACGGCUCACCAAGGCGACGAUGGGUAGGGGAACUGAGAGGUUGAACCCCCACACUGGUACUGAGACACGGACCAGACUACUACGGGAGGCAGCAGUGAGGAAUAUUGGUCAAUGGGCGAGAGCCUGAACCAGCCAAGUCGCGUGAAGGAUGACUGUCUUAUGGAUUGUAAACUUCUUUUAUACGGGAAUAACAAGAGCCACGUGUGGCUCCCUGCAUGUACCGUAUGAAUAAGCAUCGGCUAACUCCGUG